RNAcentral lists this unclassified non-coding RNA (334 nucleotides) under Inocybe sp. Its description in RNAcentral is "partial contains 5.8S ribosomal RNA, internal transcribed spacer 2, and large subunit ribosomal RNA". The stretch from base 1 to 52 matches the Rfam family "5.8S ribosomal RNA", at positions 103 to 154 of the family's 154-position model. Lineage: Eukaryota; Fungi; Basidiomycota; Agaricomycetes; Agaricales; Inocybaceae. The record is from RNAcentral.
AACGCAUCUUGCGCUCUUGGGUAUUCCUAGGAGCAUGUCUGUUUGAGUGUCGUGAAAAUCUUCAAAACCCCCUUUUCGUUGCAAAACGUAGAGCGUUUGGGCUUUGGAUUAUGACUGUUUGUGCCGCUUGCUUUGCAGGAUCAGGCUCGGUCGAAAUAUAAGAGCAAACUGACGUGAUGGCCCGUAAUGCCUUCUCUUUGUUUGACUCGGCGUGAUAAUUAUCUUCGUCGAGUCGUUAAAGCGAUAUUAGGCUGUGGCUUUGCGUACAGGGCUUAUAAUACUUUAAAUUAUUUGAUUAGACCUCAAAUCAGGCAGGACUACCCGCUGAACUUAA